GGCGGGGUAGCUCAGCUGGUCAGAGCACAGGACUCAUAAGCCUGGGGUCGUGGGUUCGAUCCCCACCCCCGCCACCA
This 77-nucleotide transfer RNA is filed under the name Rickettsiales bacterium. RNAcentral describes it as "tRNA-Met". It matches the Rfam family "tRNA". From Rfam's summary of the family: Transfer RNA (tRNA) molecules are approximately 80 nucleotides in length. The record is from RNAcentral. Lineage: Bacteria; Pseudomonadati; Pseudomonadota; Alphaproteobacteria; Rickettsiales.